This 1332-nucleotide ribosomal RNA is filed under the name uncultured Arthrobacter sp. RNAcentral's name for it is "bacterial SSU rRNA". It matches the Rfam family "Bacterial small subunit ribosomal RNA", at positions 68 to 1412 of the family's 1533-position model. The record is from RNAcentral. Lineage: Bacteria; Bacillati; Actinomycetota; Actinomycetes; Micrococcales; Micrococcaceae.
GAUGAUGGGAGCUUGCUCCUGGAUUAGUGGCGAACGGGUGAGUAACACGUGAGUAACCUGCCCUUAACUCUGGGAUAAGCCUGGGAAACUGGGUCUAAUACCGGAUAUGACUCCUCAUCGCAUGGUGGGGGGUGGAAAGCUUUAUUGUGGUUUUGGAUGGACUCGCGGCCUAUCAGCUUGUUGGUGAGGUAAUGGCUUACCAAGGCGACGACGGGUAGCCGGCCUGAGAGGGUGACCGGCCACACUGGGACUAGACACGGCCCAGACUCCUACGGGAGGCAGCAGUGGGGAAUAUUGCACAAUGGGCGCAAGCCUGAUGCAGCGACGCCGCGUGAGGGAUGACGGCCUUCGGGUUGUAAACCUCUUUCAGUAGGGAAGAAGCGAAAGUGACGGUACCUGCAGAAGAAGCGCCGGCUAACUACGUGCCAGCAGCCGCGGUAAUACGUAGGGCGCAAGCGUUAUCCGGAAUUAUUGGGCGUAAAGAGCUCGUAGGCGGUUUGUCGCGUCUGCCGUGAAAGUCCGGGGCUCAACUCCGGAUCUGCGGUGGGUACGGGCAGACUAGAGUGAUGUAGGGGAGACUGGAAUUCCUGGUGUAGCGGUGAAAUGCGCAGAAUCAGGAGGAACACCGAUGGCGAAGGCAGGUCUCUGGGGCAUUAACUGACGCUGAGGAGCGAAAGCAUGGGGAGCGAACAGGAUUAGAUACCCUGGUAGUCCAUGCCGUAAACGUUGGGCACUAGGUGUGGGGGACAUUCCACGUUUUUCCGCGCCGUAGCUAACGCAUUAAGUGCCCCGCCUGGGGAGUACGGCCGCAAGGCUAAAACUCAAAGGAAUUGACGGGGGCCCGCACAAGCGGCGGAGCAUGCGGAUUAAUUCGAUGCAACGCGAAGAACCUUACCAAGGCUUGACAUGAACCGGUAAUACCUGGAGACAGGUGCCCCGCUUGCGGUCGGUUUACAGGUGGUGCAUGGUUGUCGUCAGCUCGUGUCGUGAGAUGUUGGGUUAAGUCCCGCAACGAGCGCAACCCUCGUUCUAUGUUGCCAGCACGUGAUGGUGGGGACUCAUAGGAGACUGCCGGGGUCAACUCGGAGGAAGGUGGGGACGACGUCAAAUCAUCAUGCCCCUUAUGUCUUGGGCUUCACGCAUGCUACAAUGGCCGGUACAAAGGGUUGCGAUACUGUGAGGUGGAGCUAAUCCCAAAAAGCCGGUCUCAGUUCGGAUUGGGGUCUGCAACUCGACCCCAUGAAGUCGGAGUCGCUAGUAAUCGCAGAUCAGCACGCUGCGGUGAAUACGUUCCCGGGCCUUGUACACACCGCCCGUCAAGUCACGAAAGUU